UGAUGGUUCUUCUUCUUUGAUAUAGUUUUCUUUAAUUCCUCAUAGAUAUUGCUUUGCUUAUGUUCAGCUUAUUACAAGACUGAAAUAAAUGAUUGUAAUUUGCUUCCGAGUUUCUUUUUGUAGCUUUUAUCGUCAAUCAUCUCAUGGCUUAUGAAACAACCCUUGGUCAGCAUAUAGUAUCCCAUAAGUUCAAUUCCUCAUCUCUUUUUUAUAUUUGAAAUUCUUAUUAACAAAGUAUUAGAUGCAUCUAUAUUUACUAAAUUUGAUGCAUCAUAAUCAUUUUCAACUAUAUGUAUUAUCUGAAAGAAUGUAGCUCCGACUUUCAUAUGGAAACUCCCGAUCAUUUGGGUUCAUCCCUACUUGGUUGUUCUGCCUUUGCAGAUCAAUUUAAGCACCACAGUCUUCCGUUGCAGCUGACCAUGUCUGCUACCUUGCAAUCGGGCCAAUUUGGCUGGACAGUUAUCUUCCUCUGCUUGUCCGAAUACCACAGCAAGCCAUCUGUAUCCAUCACGUUUUCGAACCCCACUUGUGUAGAAAAUGCCACAAAAUCAGUGGCUGCUUGGUCAUAGCUGGAGGAAAAUUUCCCUCUAUACCAACAGAAGAACAUCCCAGGUGCUUGGGCGGCGAAAACUUGCUCAUAAUCUUACACAUCUUGGACCCCGGGGAGGGUACACAAAGACAGGCGCCAAACAGAGAAAAGAAUCUUUGACGUUCUUUGUGAAGAUAUAAAAGCCAAGAAGAUUGGAGCACAAUAAGAAGUUUAAACUGUGAAGAAGCUCCAACAAGUGUUCUUGAUUCAAGGUCUCAAGGUUUGUCAAAAUGAAUUCUUGGUCCAUCUUUUUUUCUUUUGGAACAUUUACAUAAUUCUUGCUCCCAUCUUGAGAUGCUAAAAGCACGGAAGUCUUGCAAAGUACAAUGGCAGGUAUACAGCUCUAAUUUGUGACAUUUUUUUGUAUGUCUGAUAUAUAGACAUUUGUGUCCAUGUCUUCUAAAGAAGAAGACUUCCCACCAUAUUCCAAAACGAUUUAUAUUAUUUAACCAAAAAUAUGAAAAUAA
Amborella trichopoda is the source of this 1056-nucleotide non-coding RNA. The record is from RefSeq and is a predicted model, not a curated record. NCBI's taxonomy places the organism in Eukaryota, Viridiplantae, Streptophyta, Magnoliopsida, Amborellales, Amborellaceae.